GUGUCAGCAGCCGCGGUAAGACGUAGGGCGCAAGCGUUGUCCGGAAUUAUUGGGCGUAAAGAGCUCGUAGGCGGCUUGUUGCGUCGACUGUGAAAAACCACGACUCAACCGUGGGACUGCAGUCGAUACGGGCAGGCUAGAGUUCGGUAGGGGAGACUGGAAUUCCUGGUGUAGCGGUGAAAUGCGCAGAUAUCAGGAGGAACACCGGUGGCGAAGGCGGGUCUCUGGGCCGAUACUGACGCUGAGGAGCGAAAGCGUGGGGAGCGAACAGGAUUAGAUACCCUGGUAGUCC
Molecule: ribosomal RNA, 292 nt
Filed under: uncultured bacterium
Lineage: Bacteria
Description: partial 16S ribosomal RNA
Rfam family: Bacterial small subunit ribosomal RNA
Source: RNAcentral